RNAcentral lists this unclassified non-coding RNA (305 nucleotides) under plant metagenome. RNAcentral's name for it is "partial contains 5.8S ribosomal RNA, internal transcribed spacer 2, and large subunit ribosomal RNA". The stretch from base 1 to 105 matches the Rfam family "5.8S ribosomal RNA", at positions 50 to 154 of the family's 154-position model. The record is from RNAcentral.
GAAAUGCGAUAAGUAGUGUGAAUUGUAGAAUUCAGUGAAUCAUCGAAUCUUUGAACGCACAUUGCGCCCCUUGGUAUUCCAUGGGGCAUGCCUGUUCGAGCGUCAUCUACACCCUCAAGCUCUGCUUGGUGUUGGGCGUCUGUCCCGCCCCCGCGCGUGGACUCGCCCCAAAUCCAUUGGCAGCGUUCCUUGCCCCCUCUCGCGCAGCACAUUGCGCUUCUCGAGGGCGGCUCCGGGACGCGAUCCAGCAAGAUGACCACCGUCUUUGACCUCGGAUCAGGUAGGGAUACCCGCUGAACUUAAGC